RNAcentral lists this ribosomal RNA (465 nucleotides) under uncultured bacterium. RNAcentral describes it as "partial 16S ribosomal RNA". It matches the Rfam family "Bacterial small subunit ribosomal RNA", at positions 28 to 507 of the family's 1533-position model. The record is from RNAcentral.
GACGAACGCUGGCGGCGUGCUUAACACAUGCAAGUCGAACGGAAAGGCCCCUUUGGGGGUACUCGAGUGGCGAACGGGUGAGUAACACGUGAGUAACCAGCCCCUGACUUCGGGAUAACUUCAGGAAACUGGGGCUAAUACCGGAUAGGAAUCAUUGCUGCAUGGGGGGGGUUGGAAAGCUGCGGCGGUUUUGGAUGGACUCGCGGCAUAUCAGCUUGCUGGUGGGGUAGUGGCGUACCGAGGCUGGGACGGGUAGCCGGCCUGAGAGGGCGACCGGCCACAUUGGGACUGAGUUCCGGCCCAAACACCUACUGGCGGCCACGGUGGGGAAUCUUGCACCAUGGGCGGUAGGCUAGUGAAGCAACGCCGCGUGCGGGAUGACGGCCUUCGGGUUGUCCACCACUUUCAGCAGGAGCGAAGCUUGUCGUGACGGUACCUGCUGAAGAAGCACCGGCUAACUACGUG